Molecule: ribosomal RNA, 265 nt
Filed under: uncultured Bacillota bacterium
Lineage: Bacteria; Bacillati; Bacillota
Description: uncultured Firmicutes bacterium partial 16S ribosomal RNA
Rfam family: Bacterial small subunit ribosomal RNA
Source: RNAcentral
AAUGAAACCUGAUAUGACUUAGUGGCGGACGGGUGAGUAACACGUGAGCAACCUGCCUUUCAGAGGGGGAUAACGGCUGGAAACGGUCGCUAAUACCGCAUGACGUGUUCGGAUGGCAUCAUCUGAACAUCAAAGAUUUAUCGCUUAGAGAUGGGCUCGCGUCUGAUUAGAUAGUUGGCGGGGUAACGGCCCACCAAGUCGACGAUCCAUAGCCGACCUGAGAGGGUGACCGGCCACAUUGGGACUGAGACACGGCCCAAACUCC